Molecule: ribosomal RNA, 420 nt
Filed under: Staphylococcus aureus
Lineage: Bacteria; Bacillati; Bacillota; Bacilli; Caryophanales; Staphylococcaceae
Description: bacterial SSU rRNA
Rfam family: Bacterial small subunit ribosomal RNA
Source: RNAcentral
GACGGUCUUGCUGUCACUUAUAGAUGGAUCCGCGCUGCAUUAGCUAGUUGGUAAGGUAACGGCUUACCAAGGCAACGAUGCAUAGCCGACCUGAGAGGGUGAUCGGCCACACUGGAACUGAGACACGGUCCAGACUCCUACGGGAGGCAGCAGUAGGGAAUCUUCCGCAAUGGGCGAAAGCCUGACGGAGCAACGCCGCGUGAGUGAUGAAGGUCUUCGGAUCGUAAAACUCUGUUAUUAGGGAAGAACAUAUGUGUAAGUAACUGUGCACAUCUUGACGGUACCUAAUCAGAAAGCCACGGCUAACUACGUGCCAGCAGCCGCGGUAAUACGUAGGUGGCAAGCGUUAUCCGGAAUUAUUGGGCGUAAAGCGCGCGUAGGCGGUUUUUUAAGUCUGAUGUGAAAGCCCACGGCUCAACC